RNAcentral lists this ribosomal RNA (514 nucleotides) under uncultured bacterium. RNAcentral's name for it is "bacterial SSU rRNA". It matches the Rfam family "Bacterial small subunit ribosomal RNA", at positions 12 to 518 of the family's 1533-position model. The record is from RNAcentral.
UUCGAUUCUGGCUCAGGAUGAACGCUAGCGACAGGCCUAACACAUGCAAGUCGAGGGGCAGCGCGGAGUAGCAAUACUUGGCGGCGACCGGCGCACGGGUGAGUAACACGUAUGCAACCAACCCAUAACAGGGGGAUAACCCGGAGAAAUCCGGACUAAUACCGCAUAAGACCACGAUAUCGCAUGAUAGUAGAGGUCAAAUAUUUAUAGGUUAUGGACGGGCAUGCGUCUGAUUAGCUGGUUGGCGGGGUAACGGCCCACCAAGGCAUCGAUCAGUAGGGGUUCUGAGAGGAAGGUCCCCCACAUUGGAACUGAGACACGGUCCAAACUCCUACGGGAGGCAGCAGUGAGGAAUAUUGGUCAAUGGGCGAAAGCCUGAACCAGCCAUGUCGCGUGAAGGAAUGAAGGUCCUAUGGAUUGUAAACUUCUUUUGCAGGAGGGUAAAGUGAGCUACGUGUAGUUCAUUGCAAGUACCCUGCGAAUAAGCAUCGGCUAACUCCGUGCCAGCCGCUGC